UACGUAGGGGGCAAGCGUUGUCCGGAAUCAUUGGGCGUAAAGCGCGUGUAGGCGGUUCAGGAAGUCUGCUGUGAAAGUCCAGGGCUCAACCCUGGGAUGCCGGUGGAUACUGCUGGGCUAGAGUGCGGAAGAGGCGAGUGGAAUUCCCGGUGUAGCGGUGAAAUGCGCAGAUAUCAGGAGGAACACCGGUGGCGAAGGCGGGUCUCUGGGCCGAUACUGACGCUGAGGAGCGAAAGCGUGGGGAGCGAACAGG
RNAcentral lists this ribosomal RNA (253 nucleotides) under uncultured bacterium. Its description in RNAcentral is "partial 16S ribosomal RNA". It matches the Rfam family "Bacterial small subunit ribosomal RNA", at positions 524 to 776 of the family's 1533-position model. The record is from RNAcentral.